This 300-nucleotide ribosomal RNA is filed under the name uncultured Caldithrix sp. Its description in RNAcentral is "partial 16S ribosomal RNA". It matches the Rfam family "Bacterial small subunit ribosomal RNA", at positions 496 to 795 of the family's 1533-position model. The record is from RNAcentral. Lineage: Bacteria; Pseudomonadati; Calditrichota; Calditrichia; Calditrichales; Calditrichaceae.
AGAGACUAUGGGCGAUGGGUCGGGUUACGAGGUAGUUGGCAUGCGUUGUCCGGAGUAGUGGGGGGGGAGGCGAGGGCAGGCGGUCUGCUACGUGUGGGGGGAAAACCGGGGGCUCAAACGCAGGGCUGCCUUUGAUACGGGAAGACUUGAGGAUCGGAGAGGCAAGGGGAAUUCCACGUGUAGCGGUGAAAUGCGUAGAGAUGUGGAGGAACACCUGUGGCGAAGGCGCCUUGCUGGCCGAUUUCUGACGCUGAGGCGCGAAAGCGUGGGGAGCAAACAGGAUUAGAUACCCGAGUAGUC